This 1633-nucleotide long non-coding RNA is filed under the name Anas platyrhynchos platyrhynchos (common mallard). RNAcentral's name for it is "lncRNA (ENSAPLG00000020892.1)". Lineage: Eukaryota; Metazoa; Chordata; Aves; Anseriformes; Anatidae. The record is from RNAcentral.
AUGGUGGCAGCCAGGCAGCGCAGGGUGCUGGCGUUGGCAGCGGUGCCCGCUCUCCCUCCCCUGGCACGGGGCUGCCCUCAAUGCGGCCGGUUGUCCUGCGCCGAGCCUACACGCGGGCUGCCGGCCUCCCCGAGCCCACUCGGAGCCGCAGGGACACAGAUCCCGCAUUGUCCCGAGCUCGGGGACAGGGCAGAGAAAAGAAACGCCCUGGAGUUUGCUCGGGUGAAGUCGGGCAGCUCUCAGGCCCCAAGCCCCCUCCUCCUGUGUCCCCCCCACCCCGUCACAACGAGGCAGGCAGCUGGGCGCAGCGCUUGGUCUGGGCUAAGAAAAAGCAACUCUGAUUAUCCAUCCACGAGAUUCGUGAGCAGGAGGAGCCUUCACAGGGCCGCAAGGCCCGCCGAGGAGAGCAGGGUCAAGAUCAGGACCAGCACCCCGGACUGCUGCACCUGGCUGAGCUUGAAGCCCUUCCCCAGGUCCCACGCCUGCAGGGAGAGAAGAAACAGAGCAGAGUUAAGGCACAGGGACACGGACAGACCCAGGUGGAGAGGCACCGCCCUGGUAAAAACUAGCAAAACCACCCCAAAAAACUGCCUGGACAUGAUGGGCGACGAACAGGCACAAGCAGCCGUCACUGCCAGGAACCAGGCAGGGGUCUUCGGGCUGUGCCAGAGGAAGCUGAUCCCCCCCCCAAAUCCCCCCAACCAGCAGCAAAGCUGCCCAGGAGCUGUCCCUAAUCCCCCCCAGCUGCAGCACGCCAGGUUUGCUCCAGAAGCAGCAGCUGCUCCCUGCUCGCUGCUCUGCUGCUGACAGAAAUAGGUUACGGAGCACGGCGCAGAGCCGAGGCCACGCUGACGUCCCCAGGGCAGAGCCAAGCAUUUGGGGGCCACCCUCAGCCCCCCAUGAGCACCUCUGGGGGACCCCAAAAGGCCCCCCAGAGCUGGCAGCCCCCAGGUGCUGCAGGCGGGUUCCCAUCUCCCACCUGAUUUUGGCUGCUGGGUGGCUGAGCAGAGCCAUGGAGCCGCCAGCCUGACCCCGCUCCCUGUUUAUUCCCGAGCUCAGCCGGGGGCUAACGCUGCUGGGUUCGUUCCCUGCUGCUUUAAUUGGCAGCCUCAUUUAAUUGUGCUGUCAGGGGCCUCAGCACGCCUUCAGCUCUCGACGCUCCAAGCCCAGAGCUGCUCACGACUGCUCCGUUUGCAGGAGGCUCGCGUCCUGCUCCGGGCCAGCUGCUUUGGCAAUUUGCUCCCCUAAAACCAGAGCGAGUCGGAGCUGCAGAAACACAGGAUUGUGCAGAAACAGAAACACAGGAUUGUGCAGGAACACAAAGCAGCACGUCUGCUGCUCUUCCCAGCAAGGAACCCUCGGCUCUGCAGCUCCCCCUCCUUCAUCAAACACAGGAAGCUCGGCUGAGCGGAGCUGCCGGUUGCACUGCAGCCCGGGGCAGACACCACGGGUUACUUUCCGUCACCAGUCCUCUGUGUUGUGUCUUCUGGGCUCGUUAAAUAGCUCAGCGUUAUUUAGGAGUAGGAGGAGGGGGAGGAUAAUGAGCAAAGGGGGGGGCGCUUCUGCCCGCACGGCCCCGCGGAGCAGGGGAUGCUGCAGCUGGCUGCGCCGCCCCGUGAAGCAUCAGCGUGGC